Molecule: ribosomal RNA, 253 nt
Filed under: uncultured bacterium
Lineage: Bacteria
Description: partial 16S ribosomal RNA
Rfam family: Bacterial small subunit ribosomal RNA
Source: RNAcentral
UACGUAGGGGGCAAGCGUUGUCCGGAAUCAUUGGGCGUAAAGAGCGUGUAGGCGGCCCGAUAAGUCCGCCGUGAAAGUCCAGGGCUCAACCCUGGAAUGCCGGUGGAAACUGUCGGGCUGGAGUCCGGAAGAGGAAAGUGGAAUUCCUGGUGUAGCGGUGAAAUGCGCAGAUAUCAGGCAGAACACCUAUGGCGAAAGCAGCUCUCUGGGACGGUACUGACGCUGAGACGCGAAAGCGUGGGGAGCGAACAGG